UACUAUUCCUCCUGGUAAUAUGUAGGUGUCCUGAUUGCUCCAUAUCCUUGCCAACACUUGGAAUCAUCCGUCUUUUGAACUUGUGGCCAUUCUGAUGCUGGUUUUCAAAUUCAUCAGUGCACACAUGCGACUGCCACCGAGGCAUGAAAGCAGCGAAGAUAAUACCCAAACGAACAGAUCAUUCUUUUCACAGCCAGACACUAAGGGGCACUAAGAACAUGGAACACUAGCCCAGCCCUUGAGAAGCUGGCAAUGAGUAGGAGUCACUAAAAGCACAGAACAAAGCACAUGUGCUUUGGAGCCAUCAGACCUGAUUGCCCAAACUGGCUCCACGACUUCCCAGGUCCUUGGCUUGGGGCCAUGCCCUUAA
Molecule: long non-coding RNA, 370 nt
Organism: Mustela erminea (ermine)
Lineage: Eukaryota; Metazoa; Chordata; Mammalia; Carnivora; Mustelidae
Exons: 3
Source: RefSeq, a predicted model, not a curated record